UAAGUUGUUUUUUUUCUAGGUUCGCAACAGUACCACAAUACUCACAAAAGAGUACAUUGAUGCAUUACAAAAUGGCUGGGAGGAGUAUGCAUGGCGCAGGAUCAACAAAGGAAUCCUUCUGAAUAAGUGCAGGAACAGAACUCUUUGCAUGGCGAAGAUUUUAUUGGUUCUCCCUGACACAUCACCAUAUAUACCUCAGCAAUUUGGUAGUUGUGUCGUUGUUGGUCACUGCACUAUAGAUUUGGGUUGUAUCGUUGUGUAUUAUAUUUGCUAUGGAGCUAUGUAUGUAUGGAUGCUAUGGAACUAUAUGUAUAUAUGGAUGCUAUGGAA
Hordeum vulgare subsp. vulgare (domesticated barley) is the source of this 330-nucleotide long non-coding RNA. RefSeq lists it as uncharacterized. The transcript has 2 exons. Lineage: Eukaryota; Viridiplantae; Streptophyta; Magnoliopsida; Poales; Poaceae. The record is from RefSeq and is a predicted model, not a curated record.